Molecule: long non-coding RNA, 1678 nt
Filed under: Nicotiana benthamiana
Lineage: Eukaryota; Viridiplantae; Streptophyta; Magnoliopsida; Solanales; Solanaceae
Description: long non-coding RNA (NBEN_LNC010884)
Source: RNAcentral
AAACAGUGGACUUGAGAGCAAGAGGAGAUGCUGAUCGAGUUCCUUCUGCAGAUAAAACAGUUUCUACUCUAGAGUCUAUGGGAGUAAAAAUCUUUGGUAUAAAUGCGUCCAAUAGUGGUAAUCCAAAAGCUGAUAUCGCCUGGGAUAAUAUUGCUGGAUAUAGUUUGCAGAAACGGCAAUCCAAUAGUGGUAAUCCAAAAGCUGAUAUUGCCUGGGAUAAUAUUGCUGGAUAUAGUUUGCAGAAACGGUAAGUGACUCUGAUUUUUUGAGUCAUCACAUUAGUGCAUUUUGGUUCUGCAACUGUAGUUCAAGAUGAAUUAUUUAUCUUGCUCCGAAUUAGCAAACUUUUAAACUGGAGAUAAAAACUUGGUGUUUGUUUUGGUCUUUCUUUUCCCUGAAAGUUAGACAAUAUGGAUUAUCUAGACAAUGGAGAUGAAGGGUGGGAGGAAGGUAAGUAAAAGAGAAAUAUCGGCUAUUUCCCUUGUUUGACAAGGGAAGACCAUUUAGGGGCAUUUGUCCUGAAAUUCUUUUAGAAAUCAUGCAAAAAGUUUUUCUAACGAUGAGUUUGUUAUAGUUUUUCAUGAUUUUUUUGAAAAACACUUUGUAAAUGUCUUUUUCCAUAUAGUUCUCUUUAGGGUGUUUUUCAAGAAAAGGUCUUUUUCCACCCGCAAAUACUCAGAAAUCUUCAAUAAAACUAUGGCUAUCCAAUACGUUUUCUUUCUGUACAAACUUUUUCCCACUUUCACAACUUUGCCAAAAGGUUGUCCAAAUGGCUACUUUACUUCCCCUUCCUUGCCCUAUUCAUCCCUUUGAUAAGUAGGAAAACAACAACAACAACAACAACAACUACCCAGUAUACUCCCACCAGGUGGGGUCUGGGGAGGGUAAUAUGUAGGCAGUCUUACCCCUACCCAAAAGGGCAGAGAGGCUGCUUCCAUGCGACCCUCGGCGCAUAGGACAGAAUGAAAAUUGAUAAGUAGGAAACAUGAUCUAAAAUAACAAGCGAGAAUUCACACAAUUAUUUGAUCAUACGAGAACUCUUAAAUGACAAGCUAGAAUGUUUGAAAGUUUUCAAAUUGAGUAUAAUGGCCCUUUGUCAAGCUUUAGAUGGAUCUUCACAUGGACAAUAGGUGCAUGUGAUCUUCCAAGUCAGUGAUAUCAAAAUACUAGUAACGUGAGUAAAAAGCUUUUCUUUCUUAAGGUUGUAUUUUUGACAAAAUAUGUGUUUCUAAAUCUAAUGUGACAAAUCCUUCCUCUAAUCUAGAUAUUUGUUGCCUAAAUCAAUUGCUUUGUCUAAUAAAAUCAUACCCUAACAUUUGCAGUACUAGACAUGCAUAGUUAGUUUGGAUUAAUUUAAUUCACGAAAAAAACUGUAGAGUUGCAUGUAGUUGUUUCAACAAUAGCAUAUUUGAAAUGUUCUCAAAAGAGUAAUAGUAUAUUUGAAAUCAUGUAAGCGUCUAAGUGACUUUGACUUCAAUACUAGUAUAUAAUUUAUUGGUGAAUGUCCAUGUGCCAAGAAUAGUACAAGUUUACUGGUGAAUGUACGUUUCGUAGAGCAUAUUACAAGUUUACUGGCGAAUGUAGCAAUUUCGUCAAGAAUAGUAUCUACAUUGUCUUGAAGUGUCACCUUUUGUUACAACAACAACAACAACCCAGUAUAAUCCCACUUAGUGGAGUU